CAGUCGCCACGGUAAUACGUAGGGUGCGAGCGUUAAUCGGAAUUACUGGGCGUAAAGCGUGCGCAGGCGGUUGUGUAAGACAGGUGUGAAAUCCCCGGGCUUAACCUGGGAACUGCGCUUGUGACUGCACAGCUAGAGUAUGGCAGAGGGGGGUGGAAUUCCACGUGUAGCAGUGAAAUGCGCAGAGGUGUGGAGGAACACCGAUGGCGAAGGCAGCCCCCUGGGCCAAUACUGACGCUCAUGCACGAAAGCGUGGGGAGCAAACAGGAUUAGAUACCCGCGUAGUCCCUGUCUCUUAUAC
This 301-nucleotide ribosomal RNA is filed under the name uncultured bacterium. RNAcentral's name for it is "partial 16S ribosomal RNA". It matches the Rfam family "Bacterial small subunit ribosomal RNA", at positions 509 to 807 of the family's 1533-position model. The record is from RNAcentral.